UGAGGAAUAUUGGUCAAUGGGCGCGAGCCUGAACCAGCCAAGUAGCGUGAAGGAUGAAGGUCCUAUGGAUUGUAAACUUCUUUUAUAGCAGAAUAAAGUGACCCACGUGUGGGUUUUUGUAUGUAUGCUAUGAAUAAGGAUCGGCUAACUCCGUGCCAGCAGCCGCGGUAAUACGGAGGAUCCGAGCGUUAUCCGGAUUAUUGGGUUUAAAGGGUGCGUAGGCGGAAAGAUAAGUCAGCCUGUGAAAGUUUGCGGCUCAACCGUAAAAUUGCAGUUGAUACUGUUUUUCUUGAGUGUACAUAAGGUAGGCGGAAUUCGUGGUGUAGCGGUGAAAUGCUUAGAUAUCACACAGAAUAUCGAUUGCGAAGGCAGCUCACAAAGCCAUUAUUGACGCUGAGGCACGAAAGUGUGGGGAUCAAACA
Molecule: ribosomal RNA, 422 nt
Filed under: uncultured bacterium
Lineage: Bacteria
Description: bacterial SSU rRNA
Rfam family: Bacterial small subunit ribosomal RNA
Source: RNAcentral